GGUUUUAUAUUUUAUUAAAAUAUUAGGUUGCAAAUCUAAAGUUGAAUAUUUAAGUUCUAAAACUU
This 65-nucleotide transfer RNA is filed under the name Parathailocyba orla. Its description in RNAcentral is "tRNA-Cys". The record is from RNAcentral. Lineage: Eukaryota; Metazoa; Arthropoda; Insecta; Hemiptera; Cicadellidae.